AACGAACGCUGGCGGCAGGCUUAACACAUGCAAGUCGAACGAUGUAGCAAUACAUAGUGGCGCACGGGUGAGUAACGCGUGGGAAUGUACCAUUUGGUGGGGAAUAACAGAGGGAAACUUCUGCUAAUACCGCAUACGCCCGAGAGGGGAAAGAUUUAUCGCCAAAUGAUCAGCCCGCGUGAGAUUAGGUAGUUGGUGGGUAAUGGCCUACCAAGCCUACGAUCUCUAGCUGGUCUGAGAGGAUGAUCAGCCACACUGGAACUGAGACACGGUCCAGACUCCUACGGGAGGCAGCAGUGGGGAAUAUUGGGCAAUGGAGGAAACUCUGACCCAGCCAUGCCGCGUGAAUGAUGAAGGCCUUAGGGUUGUAAAGUUCUUUCGCCGAUGAAGAUAAUGACGGUAGUCGGAGAAGAAGCCCCGGCUAAACUUCGUGCCAGCAGCCGCGGUAAU
Molecule: ribosomal RNA, 450 nt
Filed under: uncultured bacterium
Lineage: Bacteria
Description: bacterial SSU rRNA
Rfam family: Bacterial small subunit ribosomal RNA
Source: RNAcentral